UACGUAGGGUGCGAGCGUUGUCCGGAAUUAUUGGGCGUAAAGGGCUCGUAGGCGGUUUGUCGCGUCGGGAGUGAAAUCCACUGGCUUAACUGGUGGCUUGCUUUCGAUACGGGCAGACUGGAGGUAUGCAGGGGAGAACGGAAUUCCUGGUGUAGCGGUGAAAUGCGCAGAUAUCGGGAGGAACACCAGUGGCGAAGGCGGCUACCUGGCCCACUCUUGACGCUGAGGCGCGAAAGCUAGGGGAGCAAACGGG
RNAcentral lists this ribosomal RNA (253 nucleotides) under uncultured bacterium. RNAcentral's name for it is "partial 16S ribosomal RNA". It matches the Rfam family "Bacterial small subunit ribosomal RNA", at positions 524 to 776 of the family's 1533-position model. The record is from RNAcentral.